This 197-nucleotide ribosomal RNA is filed under the name uncultured bacterium. Its description in RNAcentral is "partial 16S ribosomal RNA". It matches the Rfam family "Bacterial small subunit ribosomal RNA", at positions 328 to 539 of the family's 1533-position model. The record is from RNAcentral.
ACGCUCGACACCUACGGGGGCAGCAGUCGGGAAUAUUGCGCAAUGGAGGAAACUCUGACGCAGUGACGCCGCGUGCAGGAAGAAGGUUUUCGGAUUGUAAACUGCUUUAGACAGGGAAGAAAAAGACAGUACCUGUAGAAUAAGCUCCGGCUAACUACGUGCCUGCAGCCGCGGUAAUCUGAGCGGGCUGGCAAGGC